Chenopodium quinoa (quinoa) is the source of this 3134-nucleotide RNA transcript. It is a transcript of the gene named mitotic spindle checkpoint protein MAD1-like, with no coding region annotated. The transcript has 18 exons. The record is from RefSeq and is a predicted model, not a curated record. NCBI's taxonomy places the organism in Eukaryota, Viridiplantae, Streptophyta, Magnoliopsida, Caryophyllales, Amaranthaceae.
CCUAGAAUAAUGCCCGUGCUAUUCAAUAGUUGGUAUUUUAAAAAGAAGUUCAAAGAACACACUUCUCAACUUCUCUCACCUGUACAACCCUCACACUACAUGAUUGUUCAUCCCUUCCAAUUCCAAUUUUGAUACUCCAAUAGCACAGUACAACUAAAACAACACGCAGACCGUGAAUUGUAUCAUCAAAAUUGGCGCCUUUCUAUUUCAUUUCAAAUAGUCGACAGCAAACACCCAAAUUUGCAAUUCCAAAAACACACAGAACCCUAGCAUAUCAAACGAAUUGAAUUUUCUUCAGUAGAGCAAAAAUGAUACUGAGAACACCACCACCAAGGAAACGGAGGGCCGAAUCCAAUCCUCCUGAGGAAGGUUCUCCCGCCGGCCGCCUUGUCAUCUACGAGGAUCCUCCUUCGCCGCAACCUGAAUCUUCUCCUCUUCCUUCCGAUCAUUUGCUUUGCACCUAUCAAUGCCGUCAAAUGGUUAAAGCGGAGCUUUUGGAUAAUUAUGCUAGCAUGGAAAAAACAAUUGAUGAAAAUCAGUCCAAAUUAGUGACAUUGAAUGAGAACCUCUUGACAGCAGAAGAAGAAGGGAAGAAAUAUCGAGAUCAAUUUCUGUAUGCCGAGCAGGAGCUUGCUGCUGCUAGAGGCCGUGAGCAGUCACUGCAGGAUAAGCUCUUGAAGGAGAUCAAGGAAUCUCAGGAGCGACUGACGAAACAAAUACAACAAUGCAAUGAACUUGAGGUCAAGCUCCAAAAGGAAGAAAGCAUGCGCAGAAGUUCAGAAUCUUCAGCAGCUGCUGCUGAAGAGAAAGCUAACCGUUUAGAGCGGAAACUAAACCAACUUUCAGACAGCACAGAAAGAGAAAGAAAGAAUCUACAAGACGAACUCAAGCAUUUGAAAGGAGAUUCAAAGCUUUCUAUGUCUAGGUUAAGGGCUGAACUUGAAAGAGUGCAAUGCCAAUCUAGUAAUGCUGUAAAGGAGUCAGAGCAAUUAAAGAAGAAGCUGGAAGAAGUUAUCAAACAGCUCAAUAAGUGUUUGCAAGAAAAGAAUGAGCUGGAAACAAAAAUAUCAAGCUUUACAUGCCCAGAGGAGGGUUCUGAAUCUUCUCAGAAUGAUGUCUUACUGAAGCACUUGCAGGAGGAGCUAAGAAAUUAUGAGUAUGAAGUGCUUGAGGCAAGGAAGUUGAAAGCAUCUCAUGAGAACAUCGAGCUGGUGAAGGAGAAGCUCAUAGAAGAAAGAAGGCGGAGGGAAAGGGCAGAGGCAGAGCUAACUAAGUUACAAGAGAUUCAGUUAAGUAUGAAUGUACUGGAGGAUGAAUUAGCUUCUUGGAAGAAAAUCUUGAAAGAAAUUCCUGGAGUUGAAUCUUCCGAUGAUGUCCCCCUGAAGUUUGUUGCUCUACAGAAGGAGGUGAUAGAUGGCAUGGCAAAGCUAGGAGAGGCAAACACACGCUUGAAACAACUUGAAGUAGCUCUGGAGGGUGCUGAGCUUGAUAAGAAAAAUGUUGAAUCAGAAACAGCAUUAGCUAAGGAGAAGGAGGAAUCGUUGAAGUUAGAAAUUAAGGAACUCAAAUCGAAACUAUUGUCAGUUAAUGAAGAUGGAGAUCAAUUAAGAACUGCUUAUAAUGAAUUGAAACAGCAGACGAAUGUAGAGCCUGGUUAUGAAGCUGUCGGGAGAGCCUUAACUCAGGGGCUUGAAUCAUCUCUUGCCCAAAAAGACACUUACAUCAAAGAAUUGGAGCUCAAUCUUAGUGAACAUAAAGCUGCCAAUGAUCGUCAACGUAACGAGAUUAGGAUGCUGAAUGAGAAGCUAAACAGUGAAGCACGAAAAAUAAAGUCUCUAGAGAGAGAGAGUGACCGACUUCGUUCUGAGAUUGCUCUCUUGGAGUCCAAAUUAGGACAUGGUGAUUUUUCGUCUGCUAAUACAAAAGUCCUGCGAAUGGUGAAUGCUCUGGGGGUUGAGAGUGAGGCUAGACAAACUAUAGAAGCCUUACAAUGUGAACUUCAGAAGGCUAAUGAGAAACUUCAGGUUGUCGAAGAAUUAAAGAAACAAUCAGCUGAUGCGGGGCAGUUAGUGGAUUCAUAUAUUUCUGGUAAAAUAGUGCAGUUGAAAGAGCAAAUAUCAACACUUGAGAAGCGUGAGGAAAGGUACAAGACUGUGUUUGCUGAUAGAAUCUCAGUUUUUAGGAGGGCAUGCUGUGAACUUUUUGGUUAUAAGAUUGUUAUGGAUGAUCAACAUCGUUCAAAUGGGAUUCCUAUAACGCGUUUCACGCUUCAAUCUAUCUAUGCGCAAAGUGAUGAUGAGAAGCUAGAAUUCGAAUAUGAGUCGGGUAACACAAACAUUUUGAUAAAUGACUAUGCAAAACAGCGUGACAUAUCGCGACAGGUUGAGAUAUUUAUUCGAAAGCUGAACUCAAUUCCAGCUUUUACAGCCAACAUAACUGUAGAAUCUUUCAAUAAGCGCACUCUAUCCUAAUGGGGAAUGAAAGGGAGAAGCUGGGCUCUUCUGGCCUUAACAGCCGCAACAUGAGCUCUAGCGACACCUGACCUAUUCAAGAAAAUAGUGGAGUGACUUUGACAACCAUUGCCUGUGUUGCUAUGAUCCUUUCUGAAUGUUGUUUUGGUAGAUGACCCAUCGUGCACCUCCAUUCCAUCCUUUGGAAUCUUUCCGCUCCAUCCACGUCAAUAAUGAUAGGCAUUCCCAGCUAUUUGUCCUCUGCCUUAAAAGCUUCAGUUGCUUUUGUUUCAAAUCAAUUCUUUGCCUCAUGUAUACUCUCCAUAUUCCUGUUUGGGUCACGGCUCAAAAUGGUCCAUAAGGUUGGGAGGAAAUCUUUUGCUCCAUUAUAGGAUCUUCAUUGUCAUUAACAUAUAUCUGACAAAGAUUUAAUCUAGCAUUUGGGUUCCUAGUGUUGAUCAUCUACUUUGUCCUUGAUUUGAGCAUGGUUAAACUCUUCAAGACACCGGACAAUUGGAUUGUUUGAUAGAUUUCUCUGAUGUGACUAUAAGGCUUUUAUGAUGUUUUAAUAUUUUCACCUUGUAUCUAAAGUCCCAUAAGAGUGACUUCAUUAAUUACUUUCCACCCAUAGAAGAGACAUUAUGGGCUUUAUGGAAAAUUAAUCUUCCAAAUUUUCUCUGAAAA